Molecule: ribosomal RNA, 321 nt
Filed under: uncultured bacterium
Lineage: Bacteria
Description: bacterial SSU rRNA
Rfam family: Bacterial small subunit ribosomal RNA
Source: RNAcentral
AACGAACGCUGGCGGCGUGGAUAAGACAUGCAAGUCGUGCGGAAACUGCUUGGUAGCAAUAUCGAGCAGUUUCAGCGGCGAAAGGGUGCGUAACGCGUGGGCAAUCUUCCUAAAAGCUUGGAAUAACACCGAGAAAUCGGAGCUAAUAUCGAAUGUGACUACUGGGCGGAUUCGCCUUGCAGUUAAAGCCGGGGACCGAAAGGCCUGGCACUUUUAGAUGAGCCCGCGGCCUAUCAGCUAGUUGGCGGGGUAAUAGCCCACCAAGGCUAAGACGGGUAGGCUGGUCUGAGAGGACGACCAGCCACACUGGAACUGAGACAC